RNAcentral lists this small nuclear RNA (25 nucleotides) under Arabidopsis thaliana (thale cress). RNAcentral's name for it is "snRNA_16035". Lineage: Eukaryota; Viridiplantae; Streptophyta; Magnoliopsida; Brassicales; Brassicaceae. The record is from RNAcentral.
UCAACCUAGUACGAGAGGAACCGUU